This 253-nucleotide ribosomal RNA is filed under the name uncultured bacterium. RNAcentral's name for it is "partial 16S ribosomal RNA". It matches the Rfam family "Bacterial small subunit ribosomal RNA", at positions 524 to 776 of the family's 1533-position model. The record is from RNAcentral.
UACGGGGGGGGCAAGCGUUGUUCGGAAUUACUGGGCGUAAAGGGCGCGUAGGCGGUUGGAUAAGUCAGCUGUGAAAACCACGGGCUUAACUCGUGGCCUGCAGUUGAGACUGUCUGGCUUGAGUCCGGAAGAGGCGAGUGGAAUUCCUGGUGUAGCGGUGGAAUGCGCAGAUAUCAGGAGGAACACCAAUAGCGAAGGCAGCUCGCUGGGACGGUACUGACGCUAAGGCGCGAAAGCGUGGGGAGCGAACAGG